Long non-coding RNA from Oncorhynchus tshawytscha (Chinook salmon), 1725 nucleotides. NCBI's taxonomy places the organism in Eukaryota, Metazoa, Chordata, Actinopteri, Salmoniformes, Salmonidae. The record is from Ensembl.
CGCUGACAGACACAGCAAACCUUCUUUCCACAUCUCGCAUUGAUGUGCCAUCCUGGAUGAAGCUGCAGUACCUGAGCCACUUGUGUGGGUUGUAGACUCCGUCUCAUGCUACCACUAGAGUGAAAGCACCGCCAGCAUUCAAGUGACCAAAACAUCAGCCAGGAAGCAUAGGAACUGAGAAGUGGUCUGUGGUUAUCACCUGCAGAACCACUCCUUUAUUGGGGGUGUCUUGCUAAUUGCCUAUAAUUUCCAACUGUUGCACAACAGCAUGUGAAAUUUAUUGUCAAUCAGUGUUGCUUCCUAAGUGGACAGUUUGAUUUCACAGAAGUGUGAUUGACUUGGAGUUACAUUGUGUUGUUUAAGUGUUCCCUUUAUUUUUUUGAGCAGUGUAUAUAUAUAUACACACACACACACACCCCAGUACAACAUGUUGGGAAGAGAGGAGGAGAGCGGUGAAAAGUCAACUGACAGGUUCAUGUCUGCCCAGAGCUGGCUACAGGAGUACAUUAACACCAAUAUGUGAAAUGGCGGGGGGGAGAGAAAGAGAGAGGCGCUUGCGGUCUGUCCCUAAGGAGGCUGGUGUGUGUGGUGUGAGGGGAAUGUCUUGGGAGCGCAGUGUUACUCUGGUGAAGGUAAUAAAUAUACCCGGCAGCACCUCAGAGAUCCACCACCAGCUUUACUGACACAAUAUUAUUCUGCUGCCCCAAACCCCACUGGGACAAUGGGGUGGUGUGUGUAUGGGUUGAGAGAGUAACUCUGGUUAAAGAUUCUGCCCAUAUGAUUGGGUGCCACUGGGGUCGUCAGAGUCCGUUCCCCUGCAGCCUGGUCUCCAAGAAACCAUCACAUCAACUGAUGCCGCAAUUCUCUCAUGAUCAUUUAGUACCUUAUGUAGGCAAGUUGACAUUAAACAUGAUCCUGACCUGAGCAGGAAGAAGUCCAGGCUCUAGUAACAGGUUCCAACUCUGGGCUCUAGUAACAGGUUCCAACUCUGGGCUCUAGUAACAGGUUCCAACUCUGGGUUCUAGUAACAGGGUCCAACUCUGGGUUCUAGUAACAGGAUCCAACUCUGGGUUCUAGUAACAGGGUCCAACUCUGGGCUCUAGUAACAGGUUCCAACUCUGGGCUCUAGUAACAGGUUCCAACUCUGGGUUCUAGUAACAGGGUCCAACUCUGGGCUCUAGUAACAGGUUCCAACUCUGGGCUCUAGUAACAGGGUCCAACUCUGGGCUCUAGUAACGGGGUUCAACUCCGGGCUCUAGUAACGGGGUCCAACUCCGGGCUCUAGUAACGGGGUCCAACUCCGGGCUCUAGUAACGGGGUCCAACUCCGGGCUCUAGUAACGGGGUCCAACUCCGGGCUCUAGUAACGGGGUCCAACUCCGGGCUCAAUCUGUCUGUCAUGUAGAAUAGGGAAUCCAGUCUGCUAUAUUCAUUACGUUUUUAUCUGUGACAUUCUAAAUGUUUCAUCUUGCUGAAUAUACCCCAGCAGAUUUCCAGGAAGGUUAUGGUGUGUUAGGGUGUCGCUAUAGGCUGAAGUGUGCAUGAGGGUGUAAAAUGGGAAUAUACAGUGGUCAGUUUAUUAGGUACACCACCCCGUUUACGAAAUGGUUCGCUCCUACAGACAGUGAGCCACGUGGUCUGCUAUAUAAAGCAGGCAGACAUUGAGGCAUUCCGUUAGAAUGGGCAAAACCAGUGACCUAAGCAACUGAGUGUGGUAUGAUUGUCG